UACGGGGGGGGGCAAGCGUUGUUCGGAAUUACUGGGCGUAAAGGGCUCGUAGGCGGCCAACUAAGUCGGAUGUGAAAUCCCCAGGCUUAACCUGGGAACUGCAUCCGAUACUGGAUGGCUUGAAUUCGGGAGAGGGAUGCAGAAUUCCAGGUGUAGCGGUGAAAUGCGUAGAUAUUGGGAGGAACACCAGUGGCGAAGGCGGCUCACUGGACCGGUACUGACGCUGAUGCGCGAAAGCGUGGGGAGCAAACGGG
Molecule: ribosomal RNA, 254 nt
Filed under: uncultured bacterium
Lineage: Bacteria
Description: partial 16S ribosomal RNA
Rfam family: Bacterial small subunit ribosomal RNA
Source: RNAcentral